GGGGGCGUAAAGGUUUCGACGGGGAUUUUGAAGUGUGAUAAGCGAGCGGAGCUGUUGUGUAAUCUCCUUAAACUGCACUACGUUUAAAUAUAAACGCAAGAAAAAAUAUUACAGUUACUAGAAAUAGUGCACUGGUAGCAGCUUAAGUCUGCUUCUGUCCUCUUUCAGAGUACCACGGCUGAUUGCAGGGCAUGGAUUAGUGGUGAACGAUUCUUCGGUGUGUCCGUACCGCUGAGUUGUAUUCGGACUACUUGUGUUUUCAGCCCGUUUAUCGGUUGACUGCACGGGGAAUGUUAAUAGGUAAACUAUGCUCGUAGAAAGUUGCAUGAAUGAGUUUUCGGACAGGAGUUCAAUUCUCCUCGCCUCCACCA
RNAcentral lists this transfer-messenger RNA (371 nucleotides) under Ruminococcus sp. It matches the Rfam family "transfer-messenger RNA". From Rfam's summary of the family: Bacterial tmRNA, also known as 10Sa RNA or SsrA, is named for its dual tRNA and mRNA-like properties. Its role is to liberate the mRNA from a stalled ribosome. Lineage: Bacteria; Bacillati; Bacillota; Clostridia; Eubacteriales; Oscillospiraceae. RNAcentral also lists the same sequence under 1 other name. The record is from RNAcentral.